RNAcentral lists this ribosomal RNA (256 nucleotides) under uncultured bacterium. RNAcentral describes it as "partial 16S ribosomal RNA". It matches the Rfam family "Bacterial small subunit ribosomal RNA", at positions 524 to 776 of the family's 1533-position model. The record is from RNAcentral.
UACGUAGGUGGCAAGCGUUAUCCGGAAUUAUUGGGCGUAAAGCGCGCGCAGGCGGUCUCUUAAGUCUGAUGUGAAAGCCCACGGCUCAACCGUGGAGGGUCAUUGGAAACUGGGAGACUUGAGUGCAGAAGGAGAAGAGCGGAAUUCCACGGUGUAAGCGGUGAAAUGCGUAGAGAUGUGGAGGAACACCAGUGGCGAAGGCGGCUCUUUGGUCUGUAACUGACGCUGAGGCGCGAAAGCGUGGGGAGCAAACAGG